RNAcentral lists this ribosomal RNA (253 nucleotides) under uncultured bacterium. Its description in RNAcentral is "partial 16S ribosomal RNA". It matches the Rfam family "Bacterial small subunit ribosomal RNA", at positions 524 to 776 of the family's 1533-position model. The record is from RNAcentral.
UACGUAGGGGGCGAGCGUUGUCCGGAUUUAUUGGGCGUAAAGAGCGUGUAGGCGGCCAGGUAGGUCUGCUGUGAAAACUCGAGGCUCAACCUCGAGACGUCGGCGGAAACCAUCUGGCUAGAGUCCGGAAGAGGAGAGUGGAAUUCCUGGUGUAGCGGUGAAAUGCGUAGAUAUCAGGAGGAACACCUGUGGUGUAGACAGCUUACUGGACCACUUCUGACGCUGAGACACGAAAGCGUGGGUAGCAAACAGG